UUACUUUCCUUGUGUCUGAAGAUUCAGUACAAUUGCUGAAAUGUUCAGUUAGCUGUUGGGAAACAGAAACACUGGGAAACAGAAGAGUCACAAUUUUUGAAGCGCCAGCUCCAUUGCAGAACAGUCGUGAUCUCUGUCGUGAUCUGCUCCAUAAUUUUGUUGCGUGGUGCCAUGCUUCAAUACAGGAGAAAGUAGAGUGUCACUGAGCCUACACUACUACUGUUUUAGAAUUUGUGUUUUGACUGCUUUGUGUCAGGCAUUCAAUAUUAACUUCUUGACAAUAAAAACACAACAAAUUGGGCAAUCUUUACUUCAUUCCUUCAUCAAAAACUGAAAGGCAGGACCAGCUCCACCUGGCUAUCAGCUAUGUGGGAGGUCUACAAGCGCCAUACUUCGUAGAUGGAAUGCAGCUGAGGAGGGUCUGCAGACUGGUGGAGAAGUAAGUGUUGCUGCUGUGUAGAGAGAGCACCUUCUACAUCUGUGGGGAAGCACUGGAGAAAGACCAGAAAAUGUUAAAGUACGUGGCUGGGCCUUACCUGCUGCUCAGAGACAGAUUUCAGCUACAUCAGAAGAUGUGAACAGAGUGAUAGCUCUGAUCCUCAGGACAUCAGAAGAAAAAGCUGCUACCUCCUAGCAACAGUACCUUCAUAUGCUUCAAGGACAGAGAAAAAAGUAGCAGUAUUCAGGGAAUUCCUACACUCUGCCAUUUGGGAUACAUAGUAAUUCUGGGAUGCAACGGAUCACCUUAAAGGUACGGGGCUUUGGAAGGCAUAGUAGACCUUUACAUUAGACUACAGAAGAACGUCCAAUGCCGCUGUAUGCCAACUUCACCAUAGGACCGGGAUGAAGAUAACUUGUAUGGAAUUAAGGCUCCGUUGAUAACUAUUAAAUAUUCAAGCUUGUCCAUCAUUAAAGCUGAACCAGAUUAGAUCUGAAUUUGUUCUUCAGCUGGGCACAGCAACCCAGAGAGACGUCAUGGUUACCGAGGGUCACUGAUGCUUGAAGAUCUCUUCAAACAAGAACAAAGUUACUCAUCUGUAGGUCUGCAAUCACCUCUGGAUCCAACCCUAGAGAGCAGGGCUAGGUAUGGGCACCCUACUGCAAGGGGUCUUGGCUGGCCCACCAGCAAGUGGCAGCGGGGGACACUGCUCUUCAAAGUAAGGUUUUGUUUUCAUAGCCUGUGCACUUAAUAGUGUAUCACUAUUAAGGCUCUUCCCUUAACUGUGGCCUGUAAGCGUUUUUGUACUACUGAAAAGUAGCUCCUAAAAUAUAUACUCGAGUACUAAUUGAUGUUUCCACUCAAUUUCCCUUUCUCCAGUAUGUACAUUUUAAGUAUGUAGCAAAACAUGCUUGUGGGGUAGACUUGACUUACGAUGACUAGACAUUUAUUUCUGUUUUAAUUAUUUUGGUAACUUUUGAGGUGAUUUUUUUUUUUUUAAUUUUAUUUUUGUUUUUAUAAACCUUUGGCAAGCCUUUAAGGCAAAUAACUUUGUACUCAGUCUUUACUCAUGCUGCAUGUAUGCUGCCUCAGACAGAUGCUUUCGUACGGUCUUAAGAACAGGUUUCUUUCUGCUGGAGUGAUUGAUCUGGCCAAUAAAUAAAUUCCCACAUAAAAUUCACUAGGAGCAAUUGAUAUGUCAUGGAGCAGUGAACUAAAGGUUGAGAUUUUUUCCUUGCUUGUAUUUCUCCCACUAAUCCCAGUUUUAACCAUUCUUUCCCCCCCCCUUCCAA
Long non-coding RNA from Cygnus olor (mute swan), 1731 nucleotides. RefSeq lists it as uncharacterized. Lineage: Eukaryota; Metazoa; Chordata; Aves; Anseriformes; Anatidae. The record is from RefSeq and is a predicted model, not a curated record. The transcript has 8 exons.